This 433-nucleotide ribosomal RNA is filed under the name uncultured bacterium. RNAcentral describes it as "partial 16S ribosomal RNA". It matches the Rfam family "Bacterial small subunit ribosomal RNA", at positions 29 to 507 of the family's 1533-position model. The record is from RNAcentral.
AACGAACGCUGGCGGCAGGCUUAACACAUGCAAGUCGAACGGAUCCUUCGGGAUUAGUGGCAGACGGGUGAGUAACGCGUGGGAACGUACCCUUUGCUACGGAAUAACUCAGGGAAACUUGAGCUAAUACCGUAUGUGCCCUACGGGGGAAAGAUUUAUCGGCAAAGGAUCGGCCCGCGUUGGAUUAGCUAGUUGGUGGGGUAAUGGCCUACCAAGGCGACGAUCCAUAGCUGGUCUGAGAGGAUGAUCAGCCACACUGGGACUGAGACACGGCCCAGACUCCUACGGGAGGCAGCAGUGGGGAAUAUUGGACAAUGGGCGCAAGCCUGAUCCAGCCAUGCCGCGUGAGUGAUGUAGGUCUUAGGAUUGUAAAGCUCUUUCACCGGUGAAGAUAAUGACGGUAGCCGGAGAAGAAGCCCCGGCUAACUUCGUG